GUAUUUUAGGUAUAGAGUGAACAUUCUCUACGCCUCGUGCGGUGAGCCACACUGUGUAUUCGUUUACCUGUUCAUCUCCAGGUUCGCCGGGUGUUGAGCACGAACGUUUGGGUUCCUCAAAGGUGUCCACAAAGUGUUUCAGCGGCCCAGGGUCCAGCUCUCCCAGCAUCCUUGCUCUGCAAGCCAAGUCGUACAGCUCAAUCACUCUCAUCCUCUGGUCUUUGCGAGACUCAACGUCAGGGCCUCAAGCGCCCCUGGAGCAACCGCGUCUGCAAUGUGUCUCUGGGAUUGCCACUCGGCUAGACACACCAUGAGUCCUAUCCAUCUGGGGUCCUGUGAACACGUGGGGUGUUUCACGUCGCUUCUAUUGUAAACCGACGGCCAGAGUCUCGUUAGUUGAGCAAAGGCAGCUACGCCGGUCUCACGUGUGAACUUCUCGGGCGAGGCGUAAUGUGACAAUGUAAACUGUCCAGUAUCAGUCCAAGACUGACAUGCCUCUCUCUCUAGGCUGAGAGGCAAUUCCCUAAAUGCAUAGGCCAGCGCACCUGCUCUCUGUCUACGGCCGGUUGUCGCAAUGACACAGCGACUGAUCUCACGAGCCACUUUCAGCAUCUCCUCUCUCCCCUGCCGCACCACAAACACAAUUUUGGGCCGGCUAGGGUGCGCACUGGGCGACAGUCUGUCAGCUAGGGCGAGAGUUGCCAUCGCAAGGUUAAGAAUCCUGUUUCCCGUGGUGUCAGACGAGUGGCACUCAAACACGGGUUUCAGGCCGCACCCGAACAACAACACGGUACAAAUGUCAUAAGUCAGGGACAAGAACAUGUGAGGUUUGUAAUACCUUACAAGCUUGCCAUUGUCAUCCAAUCUCAUCUCAAUUUGGUUGUUUUCGUUGUGUAAAGGUUCAAAAAACACGUGUCCUUCACUGCAAGGUAAACUGGGGACAAGUUCAAUUUGGAGACGAGAAUUGAGUAUGAUGAAACUGGAAACUCCCAUCUCACGCCACUCACAGUUGACAGUGAUGGGUUUCAGGGAUUUUUCUUCUUCUUUUUCUUGUUCUUCUUCUUCUUUUUCUUCAUUUUCACUUACAAGGAGCUGCUCUGUACCACCACAGCAACAGACUCCAGUUUCUGCACCAAGGGCCCGCUGUGCCUCAGGUAGAACAGAGGAGACUCAGACGCAAACGCUAUGGUGUGGCCAUCCACCACCGUAGUGCCCGGGUGCCGGUUGACGUCGCGGGACCGACUCACUAGCCGGAGGAACGUCCAGUCACCCAGACUGGUCUUGACCCUGUUAGGGAAACAUUCUACCUUCUCAAAUUCAAACACGGGGCCGAGCGUCCCAGAAUAGGCUC
This 1351-nucleotide long non-coding RNA is filed under the name Betta splendens (Siamese fighting fish). Its description in RNAcentral is "lncRNA (ENSBSLG00000026435.1)". The record is from RNAcentral. Lineage: Eukaryota; Metazoa; Chordata; Actinopteri; Anabantiformes; Osphronemidae.